UACGGAGGGUGCAAGCGUUAUCCGGAUUCACUGGGUUUAAAGGGUGCGUAGGCGGGCAUUUAAGUCAGUGGUGAAAUACCUGAGCUUAACUUGGGAACUGCCACUGAUACUAUUUGUCUUGAAUGUCGUGGAGGUUAGCGGAAUAUGUCAUGUAGCGGUGAAAUGCUUAGAUAUGACAUAGAACACCUAUUGCGAAGGCAGCUAACUACGCGAAUAUUGACGCUGAGGCACGAAAGCGUGGGGAUCAAACAGG
RNAcentral lists this ribosomal RNA (253 nucleotides) under uncultured bacterium. RNAcentral's name for it is "partial 16S ribosomal RNA". It matches the Rfam family "Bacterial small subunit ribosomal RNA", at positions 524 to 776 of the family's 1533-position model. The record is from RNAcentral.